UUCCUGUCUCUCUUCAAAAUUUCGGCCAUAACUCCCCCCUCUUGUUCUUCAUCUUUAACAAAUCUCCGAGGAUUCUAAGGGUUCUCAAGAAGAUCAAAAGGGGUUUGCAAGUGUUAGGGGUCAUCAAAGGAGCUUUUUACACAAGACUUUGGAGUAUUAUCCUUCUUCUUUCUUCAUCUAAAGAACUCAUCCCUAGCAUUGUGCUAGUAGUGCUUUAUGGCAUUUUGUGACAACUCGUGUUUAAGCUACUAGCGUGCUAGGGAAGCGAGACAAUAAUAAACUUCUAGGAGUCUGUGUCCGUAGGACGGUGUCCACGUACCUGUUCCAGGGCCAUAAUUAUCUGUAGAUCUUGCACUGGCACUUGUAGUCAGUAAGAUCCACAGUAGUCGUCUAGAGGUCUUAAA
This 404-nucleotide long non-coding RNA is filed under the name Helianthus annuus (common sunflower). RNAcentral's name for it is "sRNA HanXRQr2_Chr17g0814741". Lineage: Eukaryota; Viridiplantae; Streptophyta; Magnoliopsida; Asterales; Asteraceae. The record is from RNAcentral.